This 122-nucleotide small RNA is filed under the name Klebsiella pneumoniae. RNAcentral describes it as "partial RtT sRNA". It matches the Rfam family "RtT RNA", at positions 44 to 130 of the family's 130-position model. From Rfam's summary of the family: This family represents a bacterial cis-regulatory element known as RtT RNA. The exact function of RtT is unknown although it is thought that it may be involved in changing the cellular response in relation to amino acid starvation. The record is from RNAcentral. Lineage: Bacteria; Pseudomonadati; Pseudomonadota; Gammaproteobacteria; Enterobacterales; Enterobacteriaceae.
CGAAUCCUGCACGACCCACCAAUUUCAGCCAUUUAACUCAGAUGCUGAACGUGAAGGAUAACGUUGCGUCAGCAACGGCCCGAAGGGCGAGGCGAAGUCGAGUCAUCCUGCACGACCCACCA